UUGGUUUGGUUUUGGGUUUUUUUGUUUUGUUUUGUUUUCUUUUUGGUUUUUUUUUUUUUAUUUUCUACAAUUUUUCUUCAUGGAGUGAUUUGGAGUUUAGAUUUGUUUUAUCCUGUAUUUCAGCGCUUCUGUCUGUAAAGCCUCAUGCAUUCAAGCUGGUUGAAAGAACUUGUACAGAGAGGAAUCCAAACCAGUAAAUCUUAAUGCUUUAGCAUGCACCUCUUUGAAGUUCAAUAAAUCGAACAAAUGGCUUCAGCAAAAUGCAUGUUCAAGAGACCCUGCACACUUCUGGAGCCUGCUGAGCGCCUGCAUCCCAUGUGCAUGCCCUGCCCUGGAGCCAAGCACGUGCUUGGAAUACAGCCUUGCCCUUCUCACCCACCUGUGCAUGCUGGAAACCUCCCCUGCCCACCAGUUGUUCUCCUGUAACCAGCUGCCACAUGGUGAGGCUGGAAUCUAAUAAAGCUUUCCCUGUCUUCCUCGUC
Manacus vitellinus (golden-collared manakin) is the source of this 482-nucleotide long non-coding RNA. RefSeq lists it as uncharacterized. The record is from RefSeq and is a predicted model, not a curated record. The transcript has 2 exons. NCBI's taxonomy places the organism in Eukaryota, Metazoa, Chordata, Aves, Passeriformes, Pipridae.